RNAcentral lists this ribosomal RNA (460 nucleotides) under uncultured bacterium. RNAcentral describes it as "partial 16S ribosomal RNA". It matches the Rfam family "Bacterial small subunit ribosomal RNA", at positions 338 to 795 of the family's 1533-position model. The record is from RNAcentral.
CCUACGGGAGGCUGCAGUGAGGAAUAUUGGUCAAUGGGCGCAAGCCUGAACCAGCCAAGUCGCGUGAGGGAUGACGGUCCUAUGGAUUGUAAACCUCUUUUGUCGGGGAGCAAGGCCCGCCACGUGUGGCGGGAAGGAGAGUACCCGAAGAAAAAGCAUCGGCUAACUCCGUGCCAGCAGCCGCGGUAAUACGGAGGAUGCGACCGUUAUCCGGUUUCAUGGGGUUAAAGGGGUGCGUAGGCGGAAGUUUAAGUCAGCGGUCAAAUGUCGGGACUCAACACCGGCCUGCCGUUGAAACUGGCAGUCUUGAGUGGGCGAGAAGUAUGCGGAAUGCGUGGUGUAGCGGUGAAAUGCAUAGAUAUCACGCAGAACUCCGAUUGCGAAGGCAGCAUACCGGCGCCCUACUGACGCUGAGGCACGAAAGCGUGGGUAUCGAACAGGAUUAGAUACCCUUGUAGUC